CAAUCAAUCUCAAAUCAAAUUUAAUUAAAUCAUAUUUCAAUUAGACUUAAUCUCAGCCCAUUGGCUUAAUCAAAUUAAGUCAAUUAGCAAUCGAAUUGCUAAUCGAUCCUCCUGCAACACUUGCAUUAGGUUAAAUGUCAAUCGUAUUGAUCAUUUAAUCCUAAAACGAUUUUUAAUCGUUGAUCAACCAUCCGAUCGGAUUAUGAAC
This 208-nucleotide long non-coding RNA is filed under the name Elaeis guineensis (African oil palm). Its description in RNAcentral is "long non-coding RNA (EGUI_LNC078708)". Lineage: Eukaryota; Viridiplantae; Streptophyta; Magnoliopsida; Arecales; Arecaceae. The record is from RNAcentral.